GGGUCCCAUUGGGUCCCAUUGGGUGCCAUUGGGUCCCAUAGGGUCCAUAGGGUCCCAUAGGGUCCCAUUGGGUGCCAUUGGGUCCCAUUGGGUCCCAUUGGGUCCCAUAGGGUCCCAUUGGGUCCCAUUGGGUCCCAUUGGGGUCCAUUGGGUGCCAUUGGGUCCCACUGGGUGCCAUUGGGUCCCAUAGGGUCCUAUAGGGUCCCAUUGGGGUCCAUUGGGUCCCAUAGGGUCCAUAGGGUCCCAUUGGGUGCCAUUGGGGCCCUUCUUUUCCAGGCACUAAAUAAAGGCAAAACUGGGUUUUUUUAA
This is a long non-coding RNA of Pezoporus occidentalis (night parrot), 309 nucleotides long. RefSeq lists it as uncharacterized. The record is from RefSeq and is a predicted model, not a curated record. Lineage: Eukaryota; Metazoa; Chordata; Aves; Psittaciformes; Psittacidae. The transcript has 2 exons.